Long non-coding RNA from Pseudopipra pipra, 691 nucleotides. RefSeq lists it as uncharacterized. The record is from RefSeq and is a predicted model, not a curated record. The transcript has 3 exons. NCBI's taxonomy places the organism in Eukaryota, Metazoa, Chordata, Aves, Passeriformes, Pipridae.
AAUAAUGCUUCUUUGGCCUUAUUGUCUUGGUAUGGAAACCAGUAACAGAUGCUACUGUAACCUCUGCAUUGGAGAUGACCCCUCUGAUCUUGACCCAGAGGCAUUCAAUAGGGCUCCCAUAAUUGCCAUAGUUUACUUCAAGGUUCUCCUUAACAUGAAGUGAAACUCCUCUGCCUCUUCCUCCCUACCUAUAUUUAUGAAACAGCCUAUUGCCAUUCAUCACGAUCCUCCAGUCACGUGAGUUGUCCUACCAUGUUUCAGUUAUUCCUAUGAUAUCAUAGCUUUCUGACUGGGUGUGGAGCUCCAGUUCCUUCUGUGUGUUCCCUACACUGGGUACACUGGCAUAUAUACCCUAGAGGUGACCAGUCUUCUGUUUUUCAUGUUGAGAGGCAGCAAGGAACAUUUGUUGCUCUGUUUGGUCUGGCUUAUUCCCCAGUUGGUGGCAACGCCCAGGAUUUUGAAAUUCUUUAUGAUGAACAAAGCCUGUAUAAGGCAUGGAGAAAAUGAGAUGAGAAUCAAAUUCAAGGCUUUCUGCAGAUAUGAAUACCAAAGCACUCUCAGCCAUGAAAAUUUUGUUGGAUCUUACCUCUUAUGGUGAUUAACAUCCUGUGAUGGAAGUUUAGUCAUGCUUUAUUUCGAGGUUUCAUUUGCAAGCGCUGUACAAAUUAAUAAUAAAUAGACUUCUCAAUUA